This is a non-coding RNA of Choloepus didactylus (southern two-toed sloth), 1556 nucleotides long. Lineage: Eukaryota; Metazoa; Chordata; Mammalia; Pilosa; Megalonychidae. The record is from the annotation of a RefSeq genome assembly.
UUGGAGGUCUUCUGACACAGAUGCUCAGCUGCUUUUCCCUGCCUGUGAUACCAGUUAGGAAGACAGCUCUUACUCGCUGCCCUUUGCUCCAGGGAUGACUUUCUUUUUGGGUAGGAUUUGAGUUUUCAGAGGGAGUUCUUCUUUUAUCACCUGGUUGCCUUUGCUUCUAAAGCCCAAGAGAUGAACAUGCUGUGGGCUGUGGCUCUACUUCUAGCUUUCUUGGCUCCUGCCAGUCAGAGUGCUCCCAACUUGGAAUGGAGAAAGAGGUCAGUCACCGGGAAGACUGGGGCAACUGUGGAAAUCACUUGUGAUAUUGUUGUACAAACCAGCACCUACCUCCACUGGUACCAACACCUAGAGGGGAAGGCCCCACAACGCCUUCUCUACUACUAUCCCCGUUCCUCAAAGUUUUGGGUGGACUCGGGAAUCGAUCAACGGAAAUAUGAUGCUUAUACAAAUAGAGACAACAGCUACAAAUUACAAGUCCGAAAUCUGAAGGAAAGUGAUUCUGGCGUGUAUUACUGUGCGGUGUGGGACAGGCAUAGCUCAGGUUGGAUCAAGAAAUUUGGAGAAGGGACGAAGCUCUUAGUAAUGCCUCCCGGUAAAAGCCAAGAUGCAGAUCUUUCCCCAAAACCCACUAUGUUUCUUCCUUCAAUUGCUGAAAUAAAUUUUCAUCAGGCUGGAACAUACCUUUGUUUACUAGAGAACUUUUUCCCUGAUGAUAUUAAAGUAGAUUGGAAAGAAAAGGAUGACAGUAGAAUUCUGGAAUCUUAUGAGGGAAAAACAGUGAAGACUAAGGACGCGUACAUGAAAUCCAGCUGGCUGACUGUGAACGGGGCAUCGAUGAAGGAAGAACACAAAUGUAUAGUCAAACACGAGAAUAAUAAAGGAGGAGUUGAUCAAGAGAUUCUUUUUCCUCCAAUAAAUAAAGAUGUUCCUCUUACUGUUUCUGCAGAAACUACUUUGAAAGAUGAAAGUGAUGUACUGCAACUGCAGCUCAUGAGCACCUCUGCAUAUUACACCUACCUCUUCCUCCUCCUCAAGAGCACGGUCUACUUUGCCAUUGUUGUGUUCUGCCUGAAGAGAAGAACCGAGUUCUGUGGUUGUGGAAAGAGUCUGUGAGAUGGUGGCAUGAAGGAGCUCCCCGUUCCUCACCUUUACUGUCCCUAAAGCUUUCUGCUGGGGAUCUAGUUGGAUUUUCUUGCUGGUUUUGGGUAAUUUCAGUUCACAUGUGUGUUUUUCUAUUAUGUCAUUACUGCAUACUGGUGUCUUAAAGCACUGGAAAAACUCAGAGUAACAGUACACCGUAAUAACAGAAACUUCUGCCACUAUUCAGGGGCAGGGGUCGUCCUUGGAGCCUUUAGCACCAUUAUCUCCACAAUCCCUUCCAGCCCCUCCACCCCACCCAAAUAAUCAGCUGAGUGUAACAGCAUGUCCCUUAACCAGUGACUGCUUUAAGGCCCUCCAUCUCACACAGCCUGAAGCCAUCAGCUUUGCCACUUGGAUUCUAUAUUUUGUUUUUCAUAUACAGGCAAAAUAAAUAUUUUUUAAAAAUA